GUGCUCCUCCAGAACAAAACUUCUAUUCCUAUGCAUGUGCUAGAUAAGUUAGGGAUUGAUGGAGUAUCAUAUUACAUACCUUACUAUCUACCCGUGGAAUCUAAAAAAAAAAAAAAAGCCAAUUUCCUGGCGGUUCUGGCCUGCGGUGAAAGCUAUUUAUUUUCUUGUUUUCUUUUGGCGUACUGUGGGUAUUAUUUAUUGAGAAUGUCUCACAUGCAGUAAGUUGUAAAGCAGAUAUUCGUGCAACCAGUUGUGUGUGGAGCCUACCAUCUGUGAUGGCAUCUGACUGUCCAGCAAGUUUGCCCCACAAUGAAAAUGGGAUGCCCAAAAAAUCAGGCUGAUCCAUCUAUCAGGUUGGAUGCCAUACAAACACCAAGGUGACCCCAAAUGCAGCUAGUUGCAUGAAAAUCCCAUCUAAAACUAGUGUGAGAGGUUCUCAAUACCUUAUUGCAUUGGCUUUCCAUCUAUCUAUUUGCAUCUUUCAAGAAA
This is a long non-coding RNA of Magnolia sinica, 489 nucleotides long. RefSeq lists it as uncharacterized. The transcript is spliced from 2 exons. Lineage: Eukaryota; Viridiplantae; Streptophyta; Magnoliopsida; Magnoliales; Magnoliaceae. The record is from RefSeq and is a predicted model, not a curated record.